UCGGGAAUUUUGGGCAAUGGGCGAAAGCCUGACCCAGCAACGCCGCGUGAAGGAUGAAGUAUUUCGGUAUGUAAACUUCGUAAGAAUAGGAAGAAUAAAUGACGGUACUAUUUGUAAGGUCCGGCUAACUACGUGCCAGCAGCCGCGGUAAUACGUAGGGACCAAGCGUUGUUCGGAUUUACUGGGCGUAAAGGGCGCGUAGGCGGUGUGUCAAGUCAGUUGUGAAAUCUUCGAGCUUAACUCGGAACGGUCAACUGAUACUGUCACACUAGAGUACAGAAGGGGCAAUCGGAAUUCUUGGUGUAGCGGUGAAAUGCGUAGAUAUCAAGAGGAACACCUGAGGCGAAGGCGGGUUGCUGGGCUGAUACUGACGCUGAGGCGCGAAAGCUAGGGUAGCAAACGGGAUUAGAUACCCACGUAGUCCCUGAGCGGGCUGGCAAGGCGCAU
RNAcentral lists this ribosomal RNA (447 nucleotides) under uncultured bacterium. RNAcentral's name for it is "bacterial SSU rRNA". It matches the Rfam family "Bacterial small subunit ribosomal RNA", at positions 355 to 825 of the family's 1533-position model. The record is from RNAcentral.